Long non-coding RNA from Galleria mellonella (greater wax moth), 348 nucleotides. RefSeq lists it as uncharacterized. Lineage: Eukaryota; Metazoa; Arthropoda; Insecta; Lepidoptera; Pyralidae. The transcript has 2 exons. The record is from RefSeq and is a predicted model, not a curated record.
CGCUGCGGGUAGCGAGCCGAAAGAUUUCAUUAGAUGGUAGCAGAGUGGCAGCCGACUGCGGUGUCCAAUUUUGUGCAGCAUAGUGGCAGCCUGUGCAAGCAUACCAGCACGCUCGCCCGGCGCCGCUAGCACUGCGGCCGAUAAUAGAGGGGCGGUUGGAGCGCGGUCGCAGGCUGCCGUCGAGCAACUGCUGCGUGCGGCGAGGCGCCGCGCCAGCCAUCAUGCGACACACCGCCGACUGCAGGAAUACACGCGACGUCAUCCACUGCACAAGAUAAUAAUAAUAAUUUCUUUAAUCGACAAUAAUAGCAUGGACAAAAGAAUAAAGAUCAUUGUUAUUACUGUUAA